CUGAGUUGAAGCAAAUGUUUGUUGAAUUAAGUGGUGAUUUCCUGCUUGUCUUUAAGAAGAAGGAGAAAAGGGAAAGAAAAGUUUUUAUUGGUGGAGUUUGGGUGUUCUGUGAUUAUUCUGUAGCAGUAGUGGGAAACACAAAUGUUGAGUGUGCCAGGUACCUGGUACAGAUCUGGGUACUGGGUACAGACUGCGCCAGGGCCGUGCACAUGCUCACUGUGGUGGAAUGUAGCUGUCAGAGGCGAUGGGCUAGAGAUGAGAGUUCUUUAGAAGGAAGAGAAACGGUCUGGAUCCUAAAGGAUUGGUGCCUGGGUUUGAAGACACUUGCUCGGGAGGGCUGUUGUUCCGGACCCUCCUGGAAAUGGGCUGUCUUCUGUGGCCUUUCCCAGAAUGCCAAGCUCUUAUAG
This 407-nucleotide long non-coding RNA is filed under the name Lepisosteus oculatus (spotted gar). Its description in RNAcentral is "lncRNA (ENSLOCG00000021360.1)". The record is from RNAcentral. Lineage: Eukaryota; Metazoa; Chordata; Actinopteri; Semionotiformes; Lepisosteidae.